RNAcentral lists this small RNA (60 nucleotides) under Caenorhabditis elegans. RNAcentral describes it as "Unclassified non-coding RNA C12D8.24". Lineage: Eukaryota; Metazoa; Nematoda; Chromadorea; Rhabditida; Rhabditidae. The record is from RNAcentral.
GUGUUGGUCCACUCAACGGUGAUACGAUCAUUGUUGGUGUCCUGAAAAAGAACAAGUUAU